This 62-nucleotide transfer RNA is filed under the name Marmota marmota marmota (Alpine marmot). It matches the Rfam family "tRNA". From Rfam's summary of the family: Transfer RNA (tRNA) molecules are approximately 80 nucleotides in length. Their secondary structure includes four short double-helical elements and three loops (D, anti-codon, and T loops). RNAcentral also lists the same sequence under 2 other names. The record is from Rfam by way of RNAcentral. Lineage: Eukaryota; Metazoa; Chordata; Mammalia; Rodentia; Sciuridae.
GGGGGUGUAGCUUAGUGGUAAAGCAUUCACCUAGGACCUGGGUUUAAUCCCUAGCACCAUCC